GCCACUUUAGCUCAGCAGGUAGAGCAUCACCAUGGUAAGGUGGGGGUCGCCUGUUCAAAUCCGGCAAGUGGCU
Molecule: transfer RNA, 73 nt
Filed under: Candidatus Ligilactobacillus excrementavium
Lineage: Bacteria; Bacillati; Bacillota; Bacilli; Lactobacillales; Lactobacillaceae
Description: tRNA-Thr
Rfam family: tRNA
About the family: Transfer RNA (tRNA) molecules are approximately 80 nucleotides in length. Their secondary structure includes four short double-helical elements and three loops (D, anti-codon, and T loops).
Source: RNAcentral